Non-coding RNA from Salmo salar (Atlantic salmon), 58 nucleotides. NCBI's taxonomy places the organism in Eukaryota, Metazoa, Chordata, Actinopteri, Salmoniformes, Salmonidae. The record is from Rfam.
UGGCUCAGUUGGUAGAGCAUGGUUUGUGCAACGCCAGGGUUGUGGGUUCAAUUCCCAC